Molecule: long non-coding RNA, 507 nt
Organism: Canis lupus familiaris (dog)
Lineage: Eukaryota; Metazoa; Chordata; Mammalia; Carnivora; Canidae
Exons: 3
Source: RefSeq, a predicted model, not a curated record
CUGCUACAGAAUCCCAAGAGACAUGCUCAGAAGACCCUGUAGGAUACCUUCUUCCUAUAUCAUUAAUCUCCAUCCAGGUAAAAUCACAGGACUCAUUACUCCUGUCUGACUUACCUCCUGUCCAGGUCCUGGCAGGUGAAUAAGAGGGUAUGUGGCCACUCGGGAGACAUCAGGGAAGUCCCAGAACAUGGGGCAAGCAAAGGAUACAUGAUCAGAAAGGGAAAGACAGUAUUAUGGCUCCAAUGAGUGGGUGUAAUGAAGGAGCUGGUGAAAAAUAAAAAUCUCAGCAGUGGCCCAGAAUCACGCAAGAAGCUGAAGAUCAUCCGCAACUUAUUCCAAGGGCUUACAGAGUAUGAAUGUGAAGGCCUUGGAGAUAAUCAAACUCAAACUCAAAAUCAAAAGACUUCCAGUCUUUACAAACUCCCUUUGAUAAACAAAAAUUCCCACACCCGGCCUUAAUUGCAUUUGAAAUUCAAAGUAAAUUAAAUAUUGUGACAGAAAGGCAAU